Molecule: transfer RNA, 76 nt
Filed under: Trachinotus ovatus (derbio)
Lineage: Eukaryota; Metazoa; Chordata; Actinopteri; Carangiformes; Carangidae
Description: tRNA-Lys
Rfam family: tRNA
About the family: Transfer RNA (tRNA) molecules are approximately 80 nucleotides in length. Their secondary structure includes four short double-helical elements and three loops (D, anti-codon, and T loops).
Source: RNAcentral
CGCUAAGAAGCUAAACAGGUUUAAAGCGUUAGCCUUUUAAGCUAAAGAUUGGUGAUUACCAACCACCCUUAGCGAU